RNAcentral lists this ribosomal RNA (1958 nucleotides) under human gut metagenome. RNAcentral's name for it is "bacterial LSU rRNA". It matches the Rfam family "Bacterial large subunit ribosomal RNA", at positions 3 to 1984 of the family's 2925-position model. The record is from RNAcentral.
UUAAGUUAAUAAGGGCGCACGGUGGAUGCCUUGGCACUAGAAGCCGAAGAAGGACGUGACAAACGACGAAAUGCCUCGGGGAGCUGUAAGUAAGCACUGAUCCGGGGAUGUCCGAAUGGGGGAACCCACUAGCUACUGGCUAGUACUCCUAUCUGUUAAGGAUAGGAAGAGGAAGACGCAGUGAACUGAAACAUCUAAGUAGCUGCAGGAAGAGAAAGCAAACGCGAUUGCCUGAGUAGCGGCGAGCGAAACGGCAGGAGGGCAAACCGAAGAGUUUACUCUUCGGGGUUGUAGGACUGCAAUGUGGACUUAAAGAUUAUAGAAGAACUACCUGGGAAGGUGGGCCAAAGAGAGUAACAGCCUCGUAUUUUAAAUAGUCUUUAUACCUAGCAGGAUCCUGAGUACGGCGGGACACGAGAAAUCCCGUCGGAAUCUGGGAGGACCAUCUCCCAACCCUAAAUACUCUCUAGUGACCGAUAGUGAACCAGUACCGUGAGGGAAAGGUGAAAAGCACCCCGGGAGGGGAGUGAAAUAGAACCUGAAACCGUGUGCCUACAACAAGUUCGAGCCCGUUAAUGGGUGAGAGCGUGCCUUUUGUAGAAUGAACCGGCGAGUUACGAUAUGAUGCGAGGUUAAGUUGAAGAGACGGAGCCGCAGGGAAACCGAGUCUUAAUAGGGCGCCAUAGUAUCAUGUCGUAGACCCGAAACCAUGUGACCUACCCAUGAGCAGGUUGAAGGUGAGGUAAAACUCACUGGAGGACCGAACCAGGGCACGUUGAAAAGUGCUUGGAUGACUUGUGGGUAGCGGAGAAAUUCCAAACGAACUUGGAGAUAGCUGGUUCUCUCCGAAAUAGCUUUAGGGCUAGCGUCGACAUCAAGAUUCUUGGAGGUAGAGCACUGUUUGGGUGAGGGGUCCAUCCCGGAUUACCAAUCUCAGAUAAACUCCGAAUGCCAAUGAAUUAUGGUCGGCAGUCAGACUGCGAGUGCUAAGAUCCGUAGUCGAAAGGGAAACAGCCCAGACCACCAGCUAAGGUCCCAAAAUAUAUGUUAAGUGGAAAAGGAUGUGGGGUUGCACAGACAACUAGGAUGUUAGCUUAGAAGCAGCUAUUCAUUCAAAGAGUGCGUAAUAGCUCACUAGUCGAGUGACCCUGCGCCGAAAAUGUACCGGGGCUAAAACAAUUUACCGAAGCUGUGGAUACCUUUAUAGGUAUGGUAGGAGAGCGUUCUAUGUGUGGCGAAGGUGUACCGUGAGGAGCGCUGGAACGCAUAGAAGUGAGAAUGCCGGUAUGAGUAGCGAAAGACAGGUGAGAAUCCUGUCCACCGUAAGACUAAGGUUUCCAGGGGAAGGCUCGUCCGCCCUGGGUUAGUCGGGACCUAAGGAGAGACCGAAAGGUGUAUCCGAUGGACAACAGGUUGAUAUUCCUGUACUAGAGUAUGUAGUGAAGGAGGGACGCAGUAGGCUAACUAAAGCGUGCGACUGGAAGUGCACGUCUAAGCAGUGAGGUGUGAAUUGAGUUAAAUGCUUAAUUCUAUAACAUUGAGCUGUGAUGGGGAGCGAAGUUUAGUAGCGAAGUUAGUGAUGUCACACUGCCAAGAAAAGCUUCUAGCGUUAAUCAUACUCUACCCGUACCGCAAACCGACACAGGUAGUCGAGGCGAGUAGCCUCAGGUGAGCGAGAGAACUCUCGUUAAGGAACUCGGCAAAAUGACCCCGUAACUUCGGGAGAAGGGGUGCUGGCUUAAAGUCAGCCGCAGUGAAUAGGCCCAAGCAACUGUUUAUCAAAAACACAGCUCUCUGCUAAAUCGUAAGAUGAUGUAUAGGGGGUGACGCCUGCCCGGUGCUGGAAGGUUAAGAGGAGUGCUUAGCGGUAACGCGAAGGUAUGAAUUGAAGCCCCAGUAAACGGCGGCCGUAACUAUAACGGUCCUAAGGUAGCGAAAUUCCUUGUCGGGUAAGUUCC